UGGGGAAUAUUGCACAAUGGGGGAAACCCUGAUGCAGCGACGCCGCGUGGAGGAAGAAGGUCUUCGGAUUGUAAACUCCUGUUGUUGAGGAAGAUAAUGACGGUACUCAACAAGGAAGUGACGGCUAACUACGUGCCAGCAGCCGCGGUAAAACGUAGGUCACAAGCGUUGUCCGGAAUUACUGGGUGUAAAGGGAGCGCAGGCGGGCGAUCAAGUUGGAAGUGAAAUCCAUGGGCUCAACCCAUGAACUGCUUUCAAAACUGAUUGUCUUGAGUAGUGCAGAGGUAGGCGGAAUUCCCGGUGUAGCGGUGGAAUGCGUAGAUAUCGGGAGGAACACCAGUGGCGAAGGC
Molecule: ribosomal RNA, 350 nt
Filed under: uncultured bacterium
Lineage: Bacteria
Description: bacterial SSU rRNA
Rfam family: Bacterial small subunit ribosomal RNA
Source: RNAcentral